AUCCGGAGCCGGGCGGCUCGCCCAGGAUACGGAGCCCGGCGGUCACGGGGGAGAAGGUAGCUGUCGGGCAUUCCCCUGGCGCUGAAGGGCAGAUUGCUUGGAGAAACUCCAAGAUGAACCCCAAAGAUCUCCAUCUCCAGCUGUUCACACUCCUAUGUAAUCUCUAGCCCUUGGGUGUGGAAAGGACUUGUGACUUACUUUAACCAACAACAGAAUAUAGCAAAGAUGCCUAAGAACUGCAAAUGAGAAAUAAUUUUCUCACCUGGUCACAGCAUCUACCAAGAAUGGCGCUGGGGGAGAGAUCAGUGAGAUUCCAUCUUUAUUACCAUGUCCCUCCUUCCCUGUCAAAAGCAUUUCACAUCCCGCAAGUCCAUUAGACAUGGCACCACUCUGCUGUGGGAGAUACACACACAACUAAAUACAGGGUAACAAUACCUGCCUGGUCAGCACUUCAGCUCCAAAUCAAGCUUCACUAAUGACUAUGAGAUUAACGAAGAUGGUUUUGAUAAUUAUGACUGUUUGUUUUGUUUUUCUUAACUAUUCUUCAUCUGAGACUUUUACUUUUGUUUCUGCCAGCAUCCUGACAAACAUUUACAACCAGAAAGGGUAAGCCACUAGCUUGAAGCCAUUAAGUUAAGUUCAGUUAACAAGGCUUUGAUAACAACCCUCAUGUUUUUAAGGAAAAACAAAGAACCUAGUAAUCCUUUAGGCCUUACCCUGAAAGGGUAGCCAGAAGAAAAAUCACAAAUAACAUGAACUUACCGGAACAAUCCACCGGGGUGUGAUCAUGGAUGUGGAAGACACCUGAAAUAAUUUUAUAUAAAGCACAGAGACUAAGUUGCAGAGAGGAGGGAUGAAGAAAGAGAAGAAUCUUGACAACUCCUAGAAUCACGGCAUCUCAAAGUUGGAAGUUACAAGAGUCCAUCCAACCACCAAAAUACUUCAAGAGGUGGGUAAUUUUUAGUCU
RNAcentral lists this long non-coding RNA (967 nucleotides) under Homo sapiens (human). RNAcentral's name for it is "non-protein coding lnc-TMEM185B-1:10". Lineage: Eukaryota; Metazoa; Chordata; Mammalia; Primates; Hominidae. The record is from RNAcentral.